Phyllostomus hastatus (greater spear-nosed bat) is the source of this 1023-nucleotide long non-coding RNA. RefSeq lists it as uncharacterized. The record is from RefSeq and is a predicted model, not a curated record. The transcript is spliced from 3 exons. NCBI's taxonomy places the organism in Eukaryota, Metazoa, Chordata, Mammalia, Chiroptera, Phyllostomidae.
UUUGGUGGUGACUGUUCUUUUCAGCUUAGAGGCUGUUUCAGGUGAAAAGCACCCGUAUGGGUGUUCCCCAAACACACCAUCAGGAAGGGAGACUGUAAAAGCCAAGGGAGCAGAAAUUCACAUCUGGAGGAGACAAUAGUAUAGGGGAGUAACAUCUGUCCCGAGUACUAAUCUAUAUUUAGUCCACUCUGUUUUGGCAUCAAGAUCUUUGCCCGGGCUGCGCAGGUGCCAGGCUCUGAAGGGGCUCCCCGCCAGGCGGCCCACAGACAACAUAGCUUCUCUCAUUGGGCACCACGAUCGCCUCUUUGACAAUGGCCUUUGGCAGUUUCAAUGGACUUUGAAAAGCCAGCUCCCCUGGUCCCAGGUCUUUCUGGCCACUAGCCUGGCAUGAGCUAAGCGUCUGAGCAGAUUCCUUUAAUUUGUCAGGCUACCCCUCUGUGGGAGAGAAAAGAGAAAUUGAGCUUUGGCAAAGAGACAAAGAUGUUAUGAUUAAAACCAAGAAGUUCCUUGUGGGAUAAAGAAAAGUCGGCAUAUGACCACAGGCUGAACGCGACGAAAACUGAAAAACUCCAGUUACAUCUCCAUUUCUUCAUCCAUCUUAUCCUGCCCAGUUGAGGUCAGAGGACUGCUCCUUUAAGACACUGGAGAAGAGUCACGUUGGGAUGGUGGAGAUGAAAAGGGAUGGAAAGCAGUCAUCUCAUACUCAUAAGCCACUGUGUUUGUGCAGUGUUUAUGUAUAUUAAGUACUUAAGAAUGUGUCUGGUACUUAGUGGGUACCUACUAUUGGUUAUCUUCUUUGCCUGAGACUCAGUUGAACCUCCCAGAAGGAAAACAAAAACAACACCCCCACUUCCCAAAAACUAGCUUUUUAGACAUGUUGCAUGUAUAAAGAUAUUCCUUUGCAAAGUGUCGCAGGUUCAAUUCCCAGUCAGAGCACAUGCCUGGGUUGCAGGCCACGGCCCCCAGCAACUGCACAUUUAUGUUUCUCUCUCUCUCUCUCUCUCUCUCUCUCUUUCUCCCUCC